GUUGUAAUUAGUGCAGCGCGGUCCCACUUCCUUAAAACCGGACUACACGUGCUUAUUUCAAACCCUGUUUACUUCAGCACGCUGCGCUAUCUCCAGCCGUGAGGGUGAGGUGAGGGUGGCCCCACAGUGAAGACACCUUGACCGCUGGCGUUGUGAGCACUGAUCGCGGCUGUGAUCGAUGGGACGCACGCAUAUGAGGGGCAUUAUCUGUGUAAAAUACAUCGCCACCACAAAUAAACACCAGGAUUUCCAGAUUUCUGCUUCAUUUGUGUUUGGGGUUGAAUAUUUCCGGGGGUGAGUUGAGGAUAAUGUGAAAUGUGUAAUGUAAGAUGUGCUUGUGUGCGUUUCUUAUGGAAUCAAAGUUGCAUUCAGCUGGGAUAACCAGUAAACCAGUCUAUUUUGAAACACAGACUCAAGAGGAAACGCAUGCUCAAACUACAUGCUCAUUAUCUUCAACAGAGAUGUUUAAAGAUACCCUCGACAACACCAGUCAACUGACAUUGUGCCCUUUCAGACACCUCGGUUUCGUAUCUACCUAAGACUGGAACCAUCGGAUCGGAACGCUUUCUUCUGCCAAUUACCACUUGUCACACUAUAUAUUUGUCAGUUAUUCUCAAUUGGACCUCAUUUGGCUGCUCUGCUUAGCAUUAUGCAGAGUCCUCACCUGGCCUCACAGCAGUAUAGGCUACUCAAUAAAACCUUAAAGUAUGUGA
This is a long non-coding RNA of Gadus macrocephalus (Pacific cod), 713 nucleotides long. RefSeq lists it as uncharacterized. The transcript has 3 exons. The record is from RefSeq and is a predicted model, not a curated record. Lineage: Eukaryota; Metazoa; Chordata; Actinopteri; Gadiformes; Gadidae.